CCUCCUUUUCUUGGCCAGCCGGGCCUGCGAUCCGCUCCCCACCAUGUGCAGGAAAGGGCUCCGGUCCCCUCGGCGUCAUGUCUGCCGUGCCGGCUGCUUCCCAUUCGCCGGUUCUGUCCUCCAGCAGUGAGACAGGG
This is a small nucleolar RNA of Oryctolagus cuniculus (rabbit), 137 nucleotides long. The record is from Ensembl. NCBI's taxonomy places the organism in Eukaryota, Metazoa, Chordata, Mammalia, Lagomorpha, Leporidae.